RNAcentral lists this ribosomal RNA (252 nucleotides) under uncultured bacterium. RNAcentral describes it as "partial 16S ribosomal RNA". It matches the Rfam family "Bacterial small subunit ribosomal RNA", at positions 57 to 305 of the family's 1533-position model. The record is from RNAcentral.
GCAAGUCGAGCGGAAACGAUUAAAAGCUUGCUUUUCAGGCGUCGAGCGGCGGACGGGAGAUAAAUGCUUGGGAAUCUGCCUUAUGGUGGGGGACAACAUUUGGAAACGACUGCUAAUCCCGCAUAAUGUCUACGGACCAAAGGGGGGGAUCUUCGGACCUCCUGCCAUUUGAUUAGCCCAAGUGAGAUUAGCUAGUUGGUGAGGUAAUGGCUCACCAAGGCGACGAUCUCUAGCUGGUUUGAGAGGAUGAUC